Molecule: long non-coding RNA, 976 nt
Organism: Salvia splendens (bonfire salvia)
Lineage: Eukaryota; Viridiplantae; Streptophyta; Magnoliopsida; Lamiales; Lamiaceae
Exons: 3
Source: RefSeq, a predicted model, not a curated record
GUAAAAAAAAAAGUAACACCAAAUAAAAAUUUAUAAUGUCCGACAUAUCUCCGAAGUCCGCUAAAUUACUAUUAUAAAAAUUUAUCAAAUCUUUAUCUAUUACAAUUAGAGAAAAGUUCACGCAGCCCGUUCAACGGUCGUGCUCGCACUCCAAGAAAGUCUGGUACAUCAUCAGGGAAUACUAUGGAUGUUAUUUGUUUUUCUACACCAAAGCCACGAACUUGAAACGAUUAUACAUACACCAAAAUUUAAUAAACAAGUGAAUAAAUAAAUAAACAAUUACUUAAAUAAAUAAAUAAAAUAAAUAAAUAAAAUAAAUAAAUAAAAAGAGGGUAGAUUCAGAGGAUCGGAUUUUUUUCCCAUAGCAUUAAAUGCUCCAUUAAUUGGAUGGCAAAAGAAAUCAAAUGAAAUCUAAUAGUAGAUUUGAGUGGAUUUGGACGGAGGAGAUUUAUCUUCCCAUCCAAUCAUAAUCUUGGGAGGAUAUCAUUUAAUGUAAAAAUAUAGAAGAUCACGGCCUCAAAUUCUCAAUCAAAUUGCAAGAGGCUUCUUGGCCAUUGAAUCAACCCAAGGAAACACUCAAAUAUAUGCAUUGAGAGAUUAGAAGAUCAAAAUUAAAUAUUGAUAAAGAUUUGAGCAUUUAAGAGUCCUCCCACUUGUAUAGCAAGUUGACCGAAUCCAACAAGUAUACAAAUAAUACACCCCCAACGUUUCCAAAUACAGCCACCCAUCAUAAUCAAACAUCCCAAAAAUACUACAUAGAAUAGAGGAGUACGAGGAUGAAGAGUUGCUAAUAAUUGUAGGAUCAAGUCCAGGAUCCAAUGACACUUUUGUUUCCACAUCAAAAGGGCUAUCUCCGUGAGUUAAGGGUGGAGUCGGAACGAAAGAUUCAAGUUAAGGGAACUAAACGAUCAAGGUUGAGCAGCGAAGUGGUGGAGGAAGUGCUAUUGAGACAAGACAUUUAAUUCAGUCAGAUUUU